RNAcentral lists this ribosomal RNA (274 nucleotides) under uncultured bacterium. RNAcentral's name for it is "partial 16S ribosomal RNA". It matches the Rfam family "Bacterial small subunit ribosomal RNA", at positions 523 to 796 of the family's 1533-position model. The record is from RNAcentral.
AUACGGAGGGUGCAAGCGUUACUCGGAAUCACUGGGCGUAAAGCGCAUGCAGGCGGUCUAAUAAGUUGGAAGUGAAAGCCUAUGGCUCAACCAUAGAACUGCUUCCAAAACUGUUAGACUAGAGUCUGGGAGGGGAAGAUGGAAUUAGUAGUGUAGGAGUAAAAUCCGUAGAGAUUACUAGGAAUACCAAAAGCGAAGGCGAUCUUCUGGAACAGUACUGGCGCUGAGAUGCGAAAGCGUGGGGAGCAAACAGGAUUAGAUACCCUAGUAGUCC